This 205-nucleotide long non-coding RNA is filed under the name Brassica napus (rape). RNAcentral describes it as "long non-coding RNA (BNAP_LNC025647)". The record is from RNAcentral. Lineage: Eukaryota; Viridiplantae; Streptophyta; Magnoliopsida; Brassicales; Brassicaceae.
GGUUAGGAGAUUCAUCAUGAAUACCACAAUACUGACAGAGCAUAUCAGCCUUCACUCCUCUGGUUAUCAAAUUGCUCGCCACAGGAAUUGCAUUUGAUAAUGUUCUCCACAUGAAAGCUUGAAUUUUUGGAGCAGUUAAGGAGUUCCAGAUUUCUUCCUUCAAUCUAUUCAAAGACGGUUGCAUCUCAGCCUCUUGAAACUCGUU